GCUAGCGCCGGUUAUAUCCGACAUUCACGAAGCGCGUCGCAUUGGCGAGCGACAGUAACGAUCACGACGCGCUAUACAACCGCAACCACGGUUUUAAUCGGGUCGGGUGUCUUCCUGGAGGAAGUCCUAAAGGAUAUAAGGACAAAACAGCCCAAGGUCAGAAUAAGUGAACCAGAUUUUGUCCUCUAAGAUGGAGUAUAAAAAUCUAAAAAAACGACAGCUGGUGAACGAGACUGAUUCGGAAAGCUGUGAUGAAAAUGAAUCAUAUAUAAACACGGGACAUCGAAGAAAAAGGCAAUUAAAUGUACCAAGUACAUCAGAAUCUGAAGAAACUGAUGAUGUUAACACCACACAUUCUACAAACUGUGGUAAUAGUAAUGAACUAAGACUCAUUGGAAAACACUUCCCUACUCCGUACAUAUCUGCAGGAAAAAAUAAAUUACGAAGAUGCGUUGUUUGCAGCAAAAAUUAUAAAAGACGCGAAUCACGUUAUCAAUGCGAUGAAUGUAACGUGGGAUUGUGCGUGCAUCCCUGCUUUAAAAUUUAUCAUACGCAAACAUAUUACUAAAUUAUAUCUAUCAUUGUUAUAUAAUUUCCAAUAAACAAGUCAGUGAAGAUUUA
Long non-coding RNA from Orussus abietinus, 621 nucleotides. RefSeq lists it as uncharacterized. The record is from RefSeq and is a predicted model, not a curated record. The transcript has 2 exons. NCBI's taxonomy places the organism in Eukaryota, Metazoa, Arthropoda, Insecta, Hymenoptera, Orussidae.